GAUGAAGAACGCAGCAAAAUGCGAUAAGUAAUGUGAAUUGCAGAAUUCAGUGAAUCAUCGAAUCUUUGAACGCACAUUGCGCCCGCCAGUAUUCUGGCGGGCAUGCCUGUCUGAGCGUCAUUUCAACCCUCAGCCCCCGCUCGCGGGGCGCUGGCGUUGGGGAUCGGCCGUCCUCGCGGCGGCCGGCCCCGAAACACAGUGGCGGUCUCUCGCGGACUCCCCUGCGUAGUAGCACUACCUCGCAGAAGGGACGAGCGGGCUGACCACGCCGUAAAACCCCCCACUUCUCCAGGUUGACCUCAGAUCAGGUAGGAAUACCCGCUGAACUUAAGCAUAUCAAUAAGCGGAGGA
This 351-nucleotide unclassified non-coding RNA is filed under the name soil metagenome. RNAcentral's name for it is "partial contains 5.8S ribosomal RNA, internal transcribed spacer 2, and large subunit ribosomal RNA". The stretch from base 1 to 120 matches the Rfam family "5.8S ribosomal RNA", at positions 35 to 154 of the family's 154-position model. The record is from RNAcentral.